Molecule: ribosomal RNA, 868 nt
Filed under: Russula sp.
Lineage: Eukaryota; Fungi; Basidiomycota; Agaricomycetes; Russulales; Russulaceae
Description: LSU rRNA
Rfam family: Eukaryotic large subunit ribosomal RNA
Source: RNAcentral
CCCUAGUAACUGCGAGUGAAGCGGGAAAAGCUCAAAUUUAAAAUCUGGUGGCCUUUGGUCGCUCGAGUUGUAAUUUAGAGAAGCGUCUUCCGCGCUGGACCGUGCACAAGUCUCCUGGAAUGGAGCGUCAUAGAGGGUGAGAAUCCCGUCUUUGGCACGGAUGCACCAGGGCUUUCGUGAUGCGCUCUCGAAGAGUCGAGUUGUUUGGGAAUGCAGCUCAAAAUGGGUGGUGAACUCCAUCUAAAGCUAAAUAUUGGCGAGAGACCGAUAGCGAACAAGUACCGUGAGGGAAAGAUGAAAAGCACUUUGGAAAGAGAGUGAAACAGUACGUGAAAUUGUUGAAAGGGAAACGCUUAAAGUCAGUCGCGUCGACCGAGACUCAGCCUCGCCUCGGCUUGGUGUACUUCUCGGCCGACGGGUCAGCGUCAAUUUUGGCCUUUGGAUAAUGGCAAGGGAAAGGUAGCACCUUUACGGGUGUGUUAUAGUCUUUUGUCGCAUGCGAGGGUCAGGAUUGAGGAACUCAGCAUGCGCCUUUUGGCGUCGGGGCUUCGGCCCACGUUACGUGCUUAGGAUGCUGGCGUAAUGGCUUUAAACGACCCGUCUUGAAACACGGACCAAGGAGUCUAACAUGCCCGCGAGUGUUCGGGUGGAAAACCCGUGCGCGAAAUGAAAGUGAAAGUUGGGACCCCUGUCGUGGGGGGCACCGACGCCCGGACCAGACCUUCUGCGACGGAUCUGCGGUAGAGCGUGCAUGUUGGGACCCGAAAGAUGGUGAACUAUGCCUGAAUAGGGUGAAGCCAGAGGAAACUCUGGUGGAGGCUCGUAGCGAUUCUGACGUGCAAAUCGAUCGUCAAAUUUGGGUAUAGGG